CAGAUUUACAACAUUUCUACGGUUUUUGUGUCCCAAAAUACAAUCAGAGUGGACCGACGAAAUUCCUUUGUGGUGCUCAGUAAUCACCACCAGGGGGUGAUCAACAUAAAUCAGAUACAUUCAAGCAACCACCUGACUUUUAUUGUGAAAUCCGGAAGCCAUCCUUAACCUGGAAGUAUUUCAAUUAUUGUAGGAAGUUUUCCGCCAUAAAACCGACACUGAUUUGACGGACAUAAAGGCUGAAAAUAGAACGGACUGGUGGACAUUUCUUUUUUUACAUUGAUCCAACAAUGCUGUUGUCAGGACCUUCAGAAGACGAGUCCAGCAAUGCAGCGGAGAAGCCUCAGCAGGCCGGCUCGGUUGAAGGAAGCCCCAAAGAGAAGUUGUCCCCUCCAGCCAGUCCUGCAGGCCGUUCCCCCUCUGGCAGUCCCCCCUCGGGGAGCGGUGACUGCAGCAGCUCAGACGACAGCACCAGCAGUGAUGAUGAUGAUGAACAUCAUGGUGCACUGAAGAAGUUGAGGAGCAGUGUGGCUCAGAUCAAAGUAAGCAAGGAUUACUACUGUUACUGGCUGUUUCUUUUAGGUUUACAACUUUAGGGAUGGCGGACCAGCGGGGUUGGUCCGCAGAACGGACGUGUUUGGGGGACUGAGAUGCUACGGAUAAAGUUAGCAAGUCUGCUUUAUGAUACUGAGCAGUGAAGAAACCCCUCCAAACCUCUGUACCGACACGCACUGUCUGCUCUUUUGAACUUGGG
This is a long non-coding RNA of Gasterosteus aculeatus aculeatus (three-spined stickleback), 754 nucleotides long. The record is from Ensembl. NCBI's taxonomy places the organism in Eukaryota, Metazoa, Chordata, Actinopteri, Perciformes, Gasterosteidae.